GAUGAACGCUGGCGGCGUGCUUAACACAUGCAAGUCGAACGAAGCAACUUGUUACGAUCCCUUCGGGGUGACGACUUGUUGACUGAGUGGCGGACGGGUGAGUAACGCGUGGGCAACCUGCCCCGUACCGGGGGAUAGCAGUUGGAAACGACUGAUAAUACCGCAUAAGCGCACGGUCUGGCAUCAGACAGUGUGAAAAACUCCGGUGGUACGGGAUGGGCCCGCGUCUGAUUAGCCAGUUGGCGGGGUAACGGCCCACCAAAGCGACGAUCAGUAGCCGGGCUGAGAGGCCGGACGGCCACAUUGGGACUGAGACACGGCCCAGACUCC
RNAcentral lists this ribosomal RNA (330 nucleotides) under uncultured Butyrivibrio sp. Its description in RNAcentral is "bacterial SSU rRNA". It matches the Rfam family "Bacterial small subunit ribosomal RNA", at positions 28 to 339 of the family's 1533-position model. Lineage: Bacteria; Bacillati; Bacillota; Clostridia; Lachnospirales; Lachnospiraceae. The record is from RNAcentral.